UGGGGGAUAUUGGACAAUGGGGGAAACCCUGAUCCAGCAAUGCCGCGUGUGUGAAGAAGGCCUGAGGGUUGUAAAGCACUUUCAGUGGGGAGGAUAAGUAUAAGGUUAAGAGCUAUAUAACUAGACGUUACCCACAGAAGAAGCACCGGCUAACUCCGUGCCAGCAGCCGCGGUAAUACGGAGGGUGCAAGCGUUAAUCGGAAUUACUGGGCGUAAAGGGUGCGUAGGUGGUUUAAUAAGUUAACUGUGAAAGUCCUGGGCUCAACCUAGGGAGGUCAGUUAAGACUGUUAGACUUGAGUAUAGGAGAGGGUAGUGGAAUUUCCGGUGUAGCGGUGAAAUGCGUAGAGAUCGGAAGGAACACCAGUGGCGAAGGCGACUACCUGGCCUGAUACUGACACUGAGGCACGAAAGCGUGGGGAGCAAACAG
RNAcentral lists this ribosomal RNA (428 nucleotides) under uncultured bacterium. RNAcentral's name for it is "bacterial SSU rRNA". It matches the Rfam family "Bacterial small subunit ribosomal RNA", at positions 355 to 775 of the family's 1533-position model. The record is from RNAcentral.